AGCAGCCGCGGUAAUUCCAGCUCCAAUAGCGUAUAUUAAAGUUGUUGCAGUUAAAAAGCUCGUAGUUGAAUUUCGGGAUCAAGUCGUCGGUCGUGCUCAGGUACGUACUGGCGUCAUUGAUUUCUCCCUUCUGACGAACCAUGAUGUCAUUAACUUGGUGUCAUGGGAAAUCAGGACUGUUACUUUGAAAAAAUUAGAGUGUUUAAAGCAGGCUCACGCUUGAAUACAUUAGCAUGGAAUAAUGAAAUAGGACGUUCGAUCCUAUUUUGUUGGUUUUAGGAUCAACGUAAUGAUUAAUAGGGAUAGUUGGGGGCAUUAGUAUUCAAUUGUCAGAGGUGAAAUUCUUGGAUUUAUUGAAGACUAACUACUGCGAAAGCAUUUGCCAAGGAUGUUUUCAUUAAUCAAGAACGAAAGUUAGGGGAUCGAAGACGAUCAGAUACCGUCGUAGUC
RNAcentral lists this ribosomal RNA (450 nucleotides) under uncultured Glomus. Its description in RNAcentral is "SSU rRNA". It matches the Rfam family "Eukaryotic small subunit ribosomal RNA", at positions 569 to 1025 of the family's 1831-position model. The record is from RNAcentral. Lineage: Eukaryota; Fungi; Glomeromycota; Glomeromycetes; Glomerales; Glomeraceae.